This 2969-nucleotide ribosomal RNA is filed under the name Minisyncoccota bacterium. Its description in RNAcentral is "23S ribosomal RNA". It matches the Rfam family "Bacterial large subunit ribosomal RNA". The record is from RNAcentral. Lineage: Bacteria; Bacillati; Minisyncoccota.
CGGGAGUUCUGAGUAAGGGCGUGUGGUGGAUGCCUUGACUGAAGAAGGCGAUGAAGGACGCGGUCUAGCUGCGAUAAGCCUCGGGGAGCUGCUUAGCAAGCUUCGAUCCGGGGAUCUCCGAAUGGGGUAACCCUAUCGAGUAAACCUCGAUAACUCUCAACUUAAACGCUUGAGAGAGCAUACCUUGGGAAGUGAAACAUCUCAGUACCAAGAGGAAAAGAGACCAACAGGCAUUCCCUUAGUAGCGGCGAGCGAAACGGGAGGAGCACAAACUCAGCCACAAAAUCGGAUCACGAGCAAUCGUGAAUCGAUUUUGUAGUUGGGGGUAUAGGCUACAGCGCUGGAAACAGGUGAAGUUACAAAAUGCUUAGAUAGUGGAACGAGCUGGGAAGCUCGACUCCAAAGGGUAAUAGUCCCGUACACGAAAUCAAAGCAUCUUCAUGGCUGUAGUUCUUGAGUAACUCGAGACAUGAAUAGCUCGGGUGAACACACCAGAACUAACUGGUAAUGCUACAUACUUCUUCAGAUCGAUAGUGAACAAGUACCGUGAGGGAAAGGUGAAAAGAACCCCGGUGAGGGGAGUGAAAUAGAUCUGAAACCACAUGUCUACAAGGAGUAGGAGCGGGCAGCAAUGUCCGCGACUGCGUGCCUAUUGAAGAAUGAGCCAACGAGUUGAUGCGUGCGGCUUGGCUAAGUCCUAUCGGAUGGAGCCGCAGCGAAAGCGAGUGUGAAUAGCGCGUUUGUCGCACGUAUCAGACCCGAAGCCGGGUGAGCUACCCAUGGCCAGGAUGAAGUUCGUAGAGAUACGGAUGGAGGUCCGAACUCAUAGGUUGUGCAACACCUCGGGAUGAGCUGUGGGUUGGAGUGAAAAGCUUAUCGAACCCGGUAAUAGCUGGUUUUCUCCGAAAGAGCUUUCGGGCUUGCGUCGUAUGUUCCCUCUGGGGGUAGAGCACUGGAAGAAGUGGAUAGGCCGCAAGGCCACUACUUCUAUCAAACUCCGAAUACCAGAGGUCAUAGUACGGCAGUUAGACGAUGGGGGCGAAGCUCCAUACGUCAAAAGGGAAACAGCCCAGACCGCCAGUUAAGGUCCCUAAAUUCAUGCUAAGUGCACUUAAGGAGGUGGAAUUUCUUAGACAGUCAGGAUGUUGGCUUAGAAGCAGCCACCAUUCAAAGAAAGCGUAACAGCUCACUGACUUAGAGAUUCUGCGCCGCAAAUGAUCGGGGCUAAGCAUGGUACCGAAACUGCGGAUUCGACACGUCUUCGGACGAGUCGAGUGGUAGGAGAACGUUCUGCUCGCGAUGAAGCCAAAGGGGUGACCCAUGGUGGAGCGUGUGGAAGUGAAAAUGUUGGCACGAGUAACCGCAAUGCGAGUGAGAUUCUCGCACGCCGAAAGAACAAGGUUUCCUUCGCAAUGGAGAUCAUCGAAGGGUUAGUCGGUCCUAAGCCAAUGGCGAACGCCGCAGGCGAUGGAUACACGGUUAAUAUUCCGUGACUUGUGUGUCGUGCGAUGGAGGGACGGAGAGCUGUACUUUGAGCCUCUUAUUGGAUUGAGGUCUUUCCGCUGAUUAUGUCAUAUAGGUAAAUCCGUAUGAUAAGUGAGAGGCGGAGGGAGAACUGGAGAUUCGUCGAAAGGAAUUCAAAGGAGCGCGCUUCCAAGAAAAACUUCUAAGCAUAACGACAUACAAACCGUACCGCAAACCGACACAGGUGUUCAGGGCGAGUAGCCCAAGGCGAACAAGUGAGAGAUCCCCAAGGAACUCGGCAAAAAAGCGACCGUACGUUAGCAAUAAGGUCCGCCCUUUCGUAGCAAUACGGCGGGGCCGCAGAGAAUUAUUCCCAGGCGACUGUUUACCAAAAACACAGCUCCCUGCAAACUCGUAAGAGGAAGUAUAGGGGGUGAUGCCUGACCAAUGCCGGAAGGUCAAGUGAGGUCGGUCUUCCAUAGCAAUAUGGAUUGCUGGCACUUCAUAAGCCCCGGUCAAUGUCGGCGAUAACUAUAAUCGUCCUAAGGUAGCGAAAUUCCUUGUCUGGUAAGUUCAGACGCGCACGAAUGGUAUAACGACUUGGGAACUGUCUCGGGGAUUUGCUUGGUGAAAAUACAAGGGCGGUGAAGAUGCCGCCUUCCUGCAGCUAGACGAAAAGACCCCAGAAGCUUUACUGUAAUUUGGUAUUGGGAUUACGGGUGCACUGCGUAGCGUAAGUGGGAGACUUUGAAGCGGAGGUUUCGGCCUUCGUGGAGUCGUCAAUGCAACACCACUCUUUGCAACUGUAGUUUCUAACCUCUCAUGAGAAACAUGAGAGAGACAGUACCUGAUGGACAGUUUCGGUGGGGCGCUGUCCUCCUAAAAAGUAACGGAGGAGCCUAUUAAGGUCACCUAGGCGCGAAUGGAAACCGUGCCGAUAGUGCAUUGGCAAAAGGUGGCUUGACUGCGAGUCGUACGUGACAAGCAGGCGCGAAAGCGGAGCAAAGUGAACCGACGGUCCGCAUUAGAUGCGACCGAAGAUUAACGGAUAAAAGUUACUCUGGGGAUAACAGGCUGGUAUUGCCUAAGAGUCCAAAUCGACGGCAAUGUUCGGCACCUCGAUGUCGGCUCAUCUUAUCCCGGGGGCGGAGAAGCUCCCAAGGGUAUGGCUGUUCGCCAUUUAAAAAGGUACGUGAGCUGGGUUCAAACCGUCGUGAGACAGGUUGGUCUUAAUCUGCUGCAGGCGUUGAUUCUUGAGGGGAUUUGUUUCUAGUACGAGAGGACCGAAAUGAACCGACCUCUGGUCUGGGGGCUGUCACGCCAGUGGCAACGCCCCGUAGCUAUGUCGGGAUCGGAUAACCGCUGAAAGCAUCUAAGCGGGAAACCAACCCCAAGAUUAGGAAUCGUUAUAGGGCCGUGGGAGAUGACCACGUUGAUAGGCGCCAGGUGCACGUGCAGUAAUGCACUUAGCCGAGGCGUACUAAUACCCCGACAGAACUCUCGAA